CCUUGGCAUACCUAUUUAUACCUCUCAUAUGCUUUUGAAAGCCAUUCCAAACUUGGAUCGGACAGGUAUCACCGGCGCGGUUGUCUGCGAAUGCGAGAACUUCAAGCCAAUCCCGGGAACAGAGAAAGUGAUCGAUGGUAUUGAUGUCAUUAAUAUAUGUACAGGAUUGAUUCCCGACAACCAAUUGCUAACCAAAGGCCAAUAUACAUUUGGAAAACGUUGUGCCGGCGUAGGUGAUGCCGUACGGAUCGGAGAAGGUACUACCGCCGUACUAAGAGGAAAGCAAGCCGCUUAUGAGAUCGCCCAAGAGCUAGGCGUACGUUUCAACUACAACGAUUACUUACAAAUAUCUAAGGAAUACAUCGACUCCCAGCAACAUCCGAUCCGCAUCAAGGAAGAGUCCCCAAGGCCCACUCCCGAGCGUCAAGCCCAACGCCCUUUCGUUCGCUUGGAUUGCCUAUACGGUUUCGCUUGUAACCCUUGCUCUUUCGCUUGUCCUCAAAAGGCGAUCACCAAAAGCUCCACCAGCGUAACGCCCGAGAUCAAUUACGAAAAAUGUACCGGCUGUAUGCAAUGCGUAUCCCAUUGUCCGGGGCUGGCUAUUUUCGGCUACGAUACCCGGAAGCAAAACUUAUUCUUACCGGUAGAAUACGAGGUAGAAGUAGGUGCCGAGGUGUGGCUCGUCGAUGAUAACGGGAAGAAACAAGGCGAAGGUAUCAUUGAGAAAGUAUUAAAGAAGCCGACAAAAACAAACGUGGCCCGUGUGAAAGCGGCAGGAAUGGAAAACGAUGCCUUAUUGAAUAUCACAGGAUUCAUCGUAAAAGAAAACUAUCCGGAGGAGAUCGACUUCAAGCAAGAGCCGGAGUGUGAGUCUGAGACCUAUGUUUGCCAUUGCGAGGACGUAUCUUUGGACAAGCUACUUUCCGCCAUUGGGGAUCGUAAAUAUAUCUCCGUCGACGAGGUAAAACAUAUCACCCGCCUAGGAAUGGGGCCAUGCCGUGGAAAACGCUGCAUACCCCGCCUACGCAUGAAACUAAGGGAAAAAGGUAUCGAACUGGUAGGCGACGCUACCCCCCGUGCUCCCCUAUCUACCCGCUUCGUCCUAAGGGAAAUGUAUCCACAGCGUCAGAUAGCGGAUACCUAUAAAGUAGAUUCUGGAAAGCAGGUUCGUAAGACGGAAGUCUUAAUCGCCGGCGGAGGUAUAGGUGGUAGCGCAUUGUUCCGUUAUUUUGCGGAAGCCGGUAAAAAGACCGUGCUUAUUAAUGCGGAUCGAGGAUCAUCAUGGCGUAAUAUCGGUGGUGGUCGUCCAGCGUUCUCGAUCCCCGAAUUAGCGGAGAUCGCCCGUAAUAACCAAACGAUAUUCGAGGAGACACAAAAAGAAUACGAUAUCCAUUACCGUGAGAUACGCUAUAUCACGUUCGCCCACGACGAGGCUACCUACAAUGAUCUGGAACGUUCCUGCGGUUGGUCCAACGCUUAUUUGAUCGACAAGAAAGACUUCCAGAAAGAGGUGUCCCCCUACUUCAACACGAACCAAAACACCUAUUUCGCCGCACAAAUCUCCCAGCAUUGUUGGCAAGCUACCCCGGGGCGUGUGAUAGACUUUAUACGAAACAAAGGCAAAGAGCGGCAAGGUGAGGUUUGGGAAGACACACACCUAGUGGAAGUACACAAAAACGGUAGAAAAUAUCACGUCUUAUUAUAUACGCAUGAUAAGCGAUACAUCGAAUACGAAUGCGAUCAUUUCGUGAACGCCCUCGGUUAUAGCGCCGAGCGUUUCGCCCGCAUGCUAGGCCUUUACACCGGCCUCUAUCCGGUCAAGCACCAAGCGUUGAUUACCCAUCGCCUACCGAAUCUGGGUAAAAACGGGGAUAUCCUCGAUAUGUUGAUAGACCGCCGGAAACGUAACGACUUCUCCGCUGUCUCAACCGCGAACUCGGUGAAAUUGCAGUACGAGUAAAGAUGCUCGUUAAGCGCAGAAGGACGAAAAGACCCCGGGACCUUUACUAUACCUUGGUAUUGGCGUUAGGCGCGGAUUGUGUAGCAUAGGCGGGAGGCUUCGAAGCGUGGGCGCCAGCCCGUGUGGAGCCGCAAGGUGAAAUACCGCUCUGUUCUCGUUUGACGUCUAACCUCGAACAGUCAUCCUGUUCAGGGACAGUGCCUGGCGGGUAGUUUAACUGGGGCGGUUGCCUCCCAAAGAGUAACGGAGGCGCUCAAAGGUCCGCUCAGCCCGGUUGGCAAUCGGGUUUCGAGUGUAAUCGCACAAGCGGGCUUGACUGCGAGAACGACGGUUCGGGCAGGGACGAAAGUCGGAGAUAGUGAUCCGGUGCCGGCGCACGGGCGCGGCAUCGCUCAACGGAUAAAAGGUACCCCGGGGAUAACAGGCUGAUCAUUCCCAAGAGUCCAUAUCGACGGGAUGGUUUGGCACCUCGAUGUCGGCUCGUCGCAUCCUGGGGCUGGAGCAGGUCCCAAGGGUUCGGCUGUUCGCCGAUUAAAGCGGCACGCGAGCUGGGUUCAGAACGUCGUGAGACAGUUUGGUCUCUAUCCUCUGCGCUCGUUGGAAUCCUGAGGAGGCCUGCCCAUAGUACGAGAGGACCUGGGUGGACGGACCUCUGGUAUGCCGGUUGUCGCGCCAGCGGCAUGGCCGGUUGGCUACGUUCGGGAGGGAUAACCGCUGAAAGCAUCUAAGCGGGAAGCCUGCUCCAAGAUUAGGAUUCCUUGGCACUUCGGUGCCUGUAGCCCGCAUGUUGAACACGUGUUCGAUAGGCCGGAGGUGGAAGCCCCGCGAGGGGUGGAGCCGACCGGUACUAACGGGCGAACGCGGCACAC
This 2829-nucleotide ribosomal RNA is filed under the name human gut metagenome. RNAcentral's name for it is "bacterial LSU rRNA". The stretch from base 1950 to 2818 matches the Rfam family "Bacterial large subunit ribosomal RNA", at positions 2046 to 2912 of the family's 2925-position model. The record is from RNAcentral.